CUGCUGAACACCAAAGCUUCGCCGUACAGGACCUGCUAAUCUGGGAAACAAGCGAAAGGGGCUAUUGAGAUGGUCUGAGUAAUAAUCAAAGCCUGCAGCUAUGUGGCGCACAAAAUUGGCAGUCUCUGCAGAAAUGAAGAGAAGGAGGAACACCCAAUCCCCAUAUCAACUCAGAAGGAUGUAAUGAGCAGUGGAAAUGUGAUCCCAAAAGAAAAUGAGGUUGUGCAAAGGGAGACUGCCAAGAGAGAUGCCCCACAAUGUCGAUCUGGAGGCUGACGAAUGUAGAACCAGGCACUUGCCUGGGAGCUAAUAAAAUGCAAUGCCCAUUGUUAAUAUCACAGGAGAUGAGAAAACACUUGUGUCUCAUUACACCAACACACAAGUUUAGUUCAGCAAAAACAGCAAAACAUUAAAUAUGACCCUGUAAAGAAGAUUAGGAAAAAUGCCAUUUUGUUUUACUCAUCUUAUAUAUGAGCAGAAUAUAUUCAAGUCUGUAGAGUAAUGACAGGCAGAUUCAGUGACGAAUGGUGACAGCUUUAUAAACUUCCAUCACAGGGAGGUGAGGCUGUCGGAAACUAACCUGAUCUGUUAUGUCUGGAGCAAUAUAUACCUUUCUUGCAAAGUAUGUGCAAAUAAAGAAUUCUUGACUUAAAA
Molecule: long non-coding RNA, 654 nt
Organism: Xenopus laevis (African clawed frog)
Lineage: Eukaryota; Metazoa; Chordata; Amphibia; Anura; Pipidae
Exons: 3
Source: RefSeq, a predicted model, not a curated record